This 478-nucleotide ribosomal RNA is filed under the name uncultured bacterium. RNAcentral's name for it is "partial 16S ribosomal RNA". It matches the Rfam family "Bacterial small subunit ribosomal RNA", at positions 28 to 507 of the family's 1533-position model. The record is from RNAcentral.
GAUGAACGCUGGCGGCGUGCUUAACACAUGCAAGUCGAACGAGAAGUGGAGACGGAAACCUUCGGGCGGAAGACUUUAUUUCGAGUGGCGGACGGGUGAGUAACGCGUGGGUAACCUGCCUCAUACAGGGGGAUAACAGUUGGAAACGACUGUUAAUACCGCAUAAGACCACAGCACCGCAUGGUGCGGGGGAAAAAACUCCGGUGGUAUGAGAUGGACCCGCGUUCGAUUAGCCAGUUGGCGGGGUAACGGCCCACCAAAGCGACGAUCGAUAGCCGAUCUGAGAGGAUGACCGGCCACAUUGGGACUGAGACACGGCCCAAACUCCUACGGGAGGCAGCAGUGGGGAAUAUUGCACAAUGGGGGAAACCCUGAUGCAGCGACGCCGCGUGAGUGAAGAAGUAUUUCGGUAUGUAAAGCUCUAUCAGCAGGGAAGAAAAUGACGGUACCUGAGUAAGAAGCCCCGGCUAACUACGUG